Long non-coding RNA from Plutella xylostella (diamondback moth), 433 nucleotides. RefSeq lists it as uncharacterized. The record is from RefSeq and is a predicted model, not a curated record. Lineage: Eukaryota; Metazoa; Arthropoda; Insecta; Lepidoptera; Plutellidae.
UACAGAUCACGCGACGCUGCCGCGCUGCACACUCACUACUACGUGCUAAAUUACAGAUUGAAUAAAGUAUGAAAUACGCUGUGAAAAAUGUGAAAUGUUAAACUUUAAUAAAUUAUAAGUAAUAAGAAGUUAUGUGUAUGAGAAUGUAUGCUGCGAACAUAACGAACCACUACUAUGUAGUAGGUAAUUACACAAACAUGGAGGGAUGUUGUUUGAAAAUUCUGUCUGCACGUCGCGAAUAACACUGUUGUCGCGCAGACUAGGAUCCAACCUAUUCCAACAAUGAGUGGAGUUGAAGGAGAACGAGCCCAUGAAUGCUGCAGACUUGUGCUGUGGAGUCAGGAGCAAGUACGAGGACGCCCUGGUGCGGUGAGAGUUGAAGUCACGUGACCACCGUAACUUGUUAUACAAAUAUUCAGGCACCCUUUUUUGU